Molecule: ribosomal RNA, 697 nt
Filed under: uncultured bacterium
Lineage: Bacteria
Description: bacterial SSU rRNA
Rfam family: Bacterial small subunit ribosomal RNA
Source: RNAcentral
GAUUGAACGCUGGCGGCAUGCCUUACACAUGCAAGUCGAACGGCAGCGCGGGAGCAAUCCUGGCGGCGAGUGGCGAACGGGUGAGUAAUACAUCGGAACGUGCCCAAUCGUGGGGGAUAACGCAGCGAAAGCUGUGCUAAUACCGCAUAAGAUCUACGGAUGAAAGCAGGGGAUCGCAAGACCUUGCGCGAAUGGAGCGGCCGAUGGCAGAUUAGGUAGUUGGUGAGGUAAAGGCUCACCAAGCCUUCGAUCUGUAGCUGGUCUGAGAGGACGACCAGCCACACUGGGACUGAGACACGGCCCAGACUCCUACGGGAGGCAGCAGUGGGGAAUUUUGGACAAUGGGCGCAAGCCUGAUCCAGCCAUGCCGCGUGCAGGAUGAAGGCCUUCGGGUUGUAAACUGCUUUUGUACGGAACGAAACGGUCUCUUCUAAUAAAGGGGGCUAAUGACGGUACCGUAAGAAUAAGCACCGGCUAACUACGUGCCAGCAGCCGCGGUAAUACGUAGGGUGCGAGCGUUAAUCGGAAUUACUGGGCGUAAAGCGUGCGCAGGCGGUUAUGUAAGACAGUUGUGAAAUCCCCGGGCUCAACCUGGGAACUGCAUCUGUGACUGCAUAGCUAGAGUACGGUAGAGGGGGAUGGAAUUCCGCGUGUAGCAGUGAAAUGCGUAGAUAUGCGGAGGAACAUCGAUGGCGAA